Molecule: non-coding RNA, 1438 nt
Organism: Microcebus murinus (gray mouse lemur)
Lineage: Eukaryota; Metazoa; Chordata; Mammalia; Primates; Cheirogaleidae
Source: RefSeq, a predicted model, not a curated record
GAGAGAGAGAGAGAGAGGAAGGAAAAGGAAAUAUAAGGAUUGGUUUAGCAUGCAGUUUCUGGGGACAGCUGUGGAGAGAAGUCUGAAGAGCCUGAGCUUGACGCAGGGUUGGACAGAGAGGGACUGGGGAUGCCAGACAGGGCAGGAUGCCCGUGCAGGGGUGCAACAGGGAAGAGCCAAAGUCCUAAAUGGAGCAGUGGCAGAAUAGGGAUGGAUGUGAUAUAACUUAGAUGAAGUUUUAAACUCAUUAAUGAGGAACAAGUCUUCAGAAUACUAUGGCAUAUUCAUUAACAAUAAAAAACUCAAAAUUUUUCUCUGUAAGUUCGUGUGCCCUGUACUUGCUGCCCAUUUUUAGUUAUAGUGGGAUGUCUGCUUCUCAGAAGUCACACCCCUGUGACAUCAGCAAAUAUGUGCUACAUUUGUUAAUCCUGGAUCUAUUUCCAGUGGGCUGUGAUGGUUACUUCAUUCCCUGAGGCUGAAAAAGCUUGAGAAUCUUUAUUUGUGGCAAAUGGCAUAUGACGACAUUCACCAAACAAGAGAAAGACAAACAAGGCAUUUUUACCAGAAACUAAGUCCCCUUUUAAAAUAUUAGUGAAAGAGAAAAAUUCUGAACAAACAGUCCACAUCUUAUCAUUUAUGUGCCAAAAUGGCUUUUCUAAAGGCAGUUGUUUGGAACUUGGAAUCUAGUUUGACAUAAAAACAAGGUAAUAAAUUGUUCCUAACUAAUCCCACAAAAGCACAUUUAACCCGAACCAAAGUGAGACUAUUUGCAUUUAUCAUUUAAAAAAACUUCUGCAAUACUGGCACUGAAACAAUAUAAUUGCAUAUGAAAUUAUUUUUUUGAAAUUAUUUUCAAUGCUAGGUAAAAUUAAUCGUUUGUUCUUCCUCUCUGAUCAACAGAUAGUUAUAGGCCAUUUCCUGUGUGCACAGAACUGUACUGAGAAUUCAAAAAGGUAUACAACUGGUCCCUGCUGCCAGUUAGUUUGCAAUAGAACCUCUGGAGGAUGAGGAGGCUCAACACAGCACCUGCCAGACAGCAGUUGUGCAAGGAAUGCUGGGUCAGUGUUGGCAGAGAGCAACUGCCGUGGAGAUACCCGGAUAUCUACAAAGGAAAUAAUCUGAAAGUUUUCCAUGAUAUGAGAAGGAAAAUAAACAAAGACAGAAGGAAGGCAGUAAAUUAUUCCUGAGGUUCCCUGACUGAGUGCUCUAACCUUUUGGAAGGAACAAACAGAUCUCCAGAGACCUUAUGACAAAAGGUUCUGUACUAUAUGCUGUUUACAGAGAAGGCCCCCAUGAUGGAGAACAGCCAUUAUCACAGUCUAGUGAUGGGAACGAAAAGUUUGCUUCCAAUUACACAAUGAAGGAGGAGAUUUUCUUCACAUAUCAAUUUUAAUUUGUCCCUUAUACCAGUCAAUAAAGCAGAGCGGUCAAAAGCAAA